CGCUGGCGGCGUGCCUAAUACAUGCAAGUCGAGCGAAUCAUCGGGAGCUUGCUCCCGGUGAUUAGCGGCGGACGGGUGAGUAACACGUGGGCAACCUGCCUGUAAGACUGGGAUAACUUCGGGAAACCGGAGCUAAUACCGGAUCAAUCUUUUCCUCGCAUGAGGAAAAGCUAAAAGACGGUUUCGGCUGUCACUUACAGAUGGGCCCGCGGCGCAUUAGCUAGUUGGUGAGGUAACGGCUCACCAAGGCGACGAUGCGUAGCCGACCUGAGAGGGUGAUCGGCCACACUGGGACUGAGACACGGCCCAGACUCCUACGGGAGGCAGCAGUAGGGAAUCUUCCGCAAUGGACGAAAGUCUGACGGAGCAACGCCGCGUGAGUGAUGAAGGCCUUCGGGUCGUAAAACUCUGUUGUUAGGGAAGAACAAGUAUCGGAGUAACUGCCGGUACCUUGACGGUACCUAACCAGAAAGCCACGGCUAACUACGUGCCAGCAGCCGCGGUAAUACGUAGGUGGCAAGCGUUGUCCGGAAUUAUUGGCGUAAAGCGCGCGCAGGCGGUCCUUUAAGUCUGAUGUGAAAGCCCACGGCUUAACCGUGGAGGGUCAUUGGAAACUGGGGGACUUGAGUGCAGAAGAGGAAAGCGAUUC
Molecule: ribosomal RNA, 649 nt
Filed under: bacterium TzT-JG-1-2
Lineage: Bacteria
Description: bacterial SSU rRNA
Rfam family: Bacterial small subunit ribosomal RNA
Source: RNAcentral